This 400-nucleotide ribosomal RNA is filed under the name Ulospora bilgramii. RNAcentral's name for it is "partial small subunit ribosomal RNA". It matches the Rfam family "Eukaryotic small subunit ribosomal RNA", at positions 30 to 432 of the family's 1831-position model. The record is from RNAcentral. Lineage: Eukaryota; Fungi; Ascomycota; Dothideomycetes; Pleosporales; Testudinaceae.
GCUUGUCUCAAAAUUAAGCCAUGCAUGUCUAAGUAUAAGCACUUAUACCGUGAAACUGCGAAUGGCUCAUUAAAUCAGUUAUCGUUUAUUUGAUAGUACCUACCCACUACUUGGAUAUCCGUGGUAAUUCUAGAGCUAAUACAUGCUAAAAGCCCCGACUUCGGGAGGGGUGUAUUUAUUAGAUAAAAAACCAAUGCCCCUCGGGGCUCCUUGGUGAAUCAUGAUAACUUUACGGAUCGCAUGGCCUUGCGCCGGCGACGGUUCAUUCAAAUUUCUGCCCUAUCAACUUUCGAUGGUAAGGUAUUGGCUUACCAUGGUUUCAACGGGUAACGGGGAAUUAGGGUUCGAUUCCGGAGAGGGAGCCUGAGAAACGGCUACCACAUCCAAGGAAGGCAGCAGG